UUUUUUUUAUCAGAAAAAGAUAAUAUUAUAUAUUAAUAUGGGGUACCAGAGAUACCGAAAGUUACAAAAUAAGAUGAGAGAUGCUUUUUGUCAUCCAAUCGUGAAAAUUUACUUCGCCCUCCAACAAGUCGAAGAUUUUGCUCCAACUCCACAAUCUAGCUUUAAGACCUCCUACCAUCUUAUCAAUCUCCCAAUUCUUCAUCUCGAAUCUACUUUCAUUCCUCCCUUUCCAAAUAAGCCAAAUGGUGCAUGCCCAAAGAACCGAGAGGAACUUCGAACUGAUCUUCCUCGUCCCAAGGUUUGAGAAGGCUUCAAAGUGUGCUUCGAGGUUGUCGGGUCGAACUGAGGCAACUCCCACCCAUUUUUGGAUUUCAUUCCACACCAUUUCUGUCUUCGGGCAUCGGAGGAAAAGAUGUUGAGCUGAUUCCUCCUUCUGACAGCAUGCAUUACACGAAACUUCCUCUUCGCCAAGUGGAAUCCUCCUUU
Molecule: long non-coding RNA, 486 nt
Filed under: Salvia miltiorrhiza (redroot sage)
Lineage: Eukaryota; Viridiplantae; Streptophyta; Magnoliopsida; Lamiales; Lamiaceae
Description: long non-coding RNA (SMIL_LNC004401)
Source: RNAcentral